GACAAAGACCAAAUGGAGAAUUGAGAUUCUGCACUCCUCUUGUGAACCAUUGCGGAAGGCAAGGGUACUACAAAAAGAGAAUCGUUUACCUCGGAGCCAAUUUUUCAAGACCAUUCCUUGUAGUAAUUUUAUGUCAAUAUGAUGGAAGGCCUUGGAUUGUGUAGCUCUUAGAAAGAGUUGUGUCAUUCUUCAAGGAUCACAAAGGUUCGAUAUACUUAAUAAAAUCUUUUUUUUAAUUAUUUGCUAUGCUAUGUAAUUUUUAUAUCUAUUUGUCACGGUUGUUGCCUUUUUAGGGGGCUAUUGGUUUGAGUUAAAUGACAAUCAUCAUGUUAAUAAAAAAAUUCUCUCGGAAUUACUUUGAUAAA
Long non-coding RNA from Solanum tuberosum (potato), 365 nucleotides. RefSeq lists it as uncharacterized. Lineage: Eukaryota; Viridiplantae; Streptophyta; Magnoliopsida; Solanales; Solanaceae. The transcript is spliced from 2 exons. The record is from RefSeq and is a predicted model, not a curated record.